AAUCAACGCUGGCGGCGUGCCUCAGACAUGCAAGUCGAACGAUUAAGACUUCCUUCGGGAAGUGCAUAAAGUGGCGCACGGGUGAGUAACACGUAAGUAAUCUACCCUCGAGUGGGGAAUAACGUCCGGAAACGGACGCUAAUACCGCAUAAUGCAGCGGCACCGCAAGGUGACAGUUGUUAAAGAUUUAUCGCUUGAGGAGGAGCUUGCGGCAGAUUAGCUAGUUGGUAAGGUAAUGGCUUACCAAGGCUACGAUCUGUAACCGGUCUAAGAGGACGGUCGGUCACACUGACACUGAAUAACGGGUCAGACUCCUACGGGAGGCAGCAGUCGGGAAUUUUGGGCAAUGGGCGAAAGCCUGACCCAGCAACGCCGCGUGAAGGAUGAAGUAUUUCGGUAUGUAAACUUCGAAAGAAUAGGAAGAAUAAAUGACGGUACUAUUUAUAAGGUCCGGCUAACUUCGUGCCAGCCGCCGCCGUAA
Molecule: ribosomal RNA, 481 nt
Filed under: uncultured bacterium
Lineage: Bacteria
Description: partial 16S ribosomal RNA
Rfam family: Bacterial small subunit ribosomal RNA
Source: RNAcentral